UGUCACAGGUAGGGGUGGACCCAGAUGUUAAUAAGGUCACGCCCCUUUUUCCACCUCGAGGAGGUUCCCAAAGCCACCCCAAUGACCAGACACACAAGGCAGCGGCUGGGACACAAAGACACAGUUAAUCCGACUUGGAUGGCUCUCACCUCUUCGCUGGAUACAGCUCUUGGCAGCGGCUGGGACACAAAGAUACAAUUAAUCUGACUUGGAUGGCUCUCACCUCUUCGCUGGAUACAGCUAGACCUAAAGCGUAUUCACAGCAUAUAUUCAGAUGUUCUCUGCUAAGACCGGCAACCUCUUCGUCUUCCUUGGACAAAGUGUACGAAGGCGGGGGUUUGUCUGACAAGGUACACAGCAAUACACAG
Long non-coding RNA from Paramisgurnus dabryanus, 368 nucleotides. RefSeq lists it as uncharacterized. The record is from RefSeq and is a predicted model, not a curated record. NCBI's taxonomy places the organism in Eukaryota, Metazoa, Chordata, Actinopteri, Cypriniformes, Cobitidae.